This 332-nucleotide ribosomal RNA is filed under the name uncultured eukaryote. RNAcentral's name for it is "partial 18S ribosomal RNA". It matches the Rfam family "Eukaryotic small subunit ribosomal RNA", at positions 592 to 976 of the family's 1831-position model. The record is from RNAcentral.
CAAUGGCGUAUAUUAAAGUUGUUGCAGUUAAAAAGCUCGUAGUUGAAUUUCGGGUCCCCGCGCUCGGCGCUUCAUUGUGCCGUCGUGGUGUCCCUCCUCGCCGUAAGGCGUCCUUUACUGUGAAAAAAUUAGAGUGUUCAAAGCAGGCAAUCGCUUGAAUACAUUAGCAUGGAAUAAUAAGAUAGGAUCUUGUCUAUUUUGUUGGUUGCGGACAACGAUAAUGAUUAAUAGGGAUAGUUGGGGGUGUCCGUAUUGAGCUGUCAGAGGUGAAAUUCUUGGAUUUGCUCAAGACGAACUACUGCGAAAGCAUUCACCAAGGAUGUUUUCAUUAA